GAACGCUGGCGGCGUGCUUAACACAUGCAAGUCGAACGGAAUUAAGGAGCUUGNUCUUUAAUUUAGUGGCGCACGGGUGAGUAACGCGUGGAUGAUCUACCCUUGAGUUUGGAAUAACAGCGGGAAACUGUUGCUAAUACCGGAUAACAUCACAAAUCAACCUGUGAUCAAAGGCGGGGUAACCUGUCGCUUGGGGAUGAGUCCGCSUCUCAUUAGCUAGUUGGUGAGGUAAUGGCUCACCAAGGCAACGAUGAGUAGCCGGUCUGAGAGGAUGAUCGGCCACACUGGGACUGGAACACGGCCCCAGACUCCUACGGGAGGCAGCAGUGGGGAAUAUUGCGCAAUGGGCGAAAGCCCUGACGCAGCGACGCCGCGUGAGGGAUGAAGGUUCUCSGAUCGUAAACCUCUGUCASAAGGGAAGAAAAAC
RNAcentral lists this ribosomal RNA (427 nucleotides) under uncultured Eubacterium sp. RNAcentral describes it as "bacterial SSU rRNA". It matches the Rfam family "Bacterial small subunit ribosomal RNA", at positions 31 to 453 of the family's 1533-position model. Lineage: Bacteria; Bacillati; Bacillota; Clostridia; Eubacteriales; Eubacteriaceae. The record is from RNAcentral.